AACGACGUAUAGGAGGUCUUGCCUGCCCAGUGACAAUGUUAAACGGCCGCGGUAUUUUGACCGUGCGAAGGUAGCGCAAUCACUUGUCUUUUAAUGAAGACCUGUAUGAAUGGUGAAACGAGGGCUUAACUGUCUCCCUUUUCUAGUCAAUGAAAUUGAUCUGCCCGUGCAGAAGCGGACAUAAAAAUACAAGACGAGAAGACCCUUUGGAGCUUAAGAUAUAAAGAUCAUCUAUGUCAAUGGGCCCCAACACGGCAACAAACUAAAUAGCAACUGAUCUUAAUCUUCGGUUGGGGCGACCACGGGAGAAAAUAAAGCUCCCACGCGGACUGGGGUAAACCCUAAAACCAAGAAAAACAUUUCUAAGAAACAGAACUUCUGACCAUUAAGAUCCGGCUACACGCCGACCAACGGACCAAGUUACCCUAGGGAUAACAGCGCAAUCCCCUUUCAGAGUCCAUAUCGACAAGGGGGUUUACGACCUCGAUGUUGGAUCAGGACAUCCUAAUGGUGCAGCCGCUAUUAAGGGUUCGUUGUCUGCCGUACCCCC
RNAcentral lists this ribosomal RNA (550 nucleotides) under Glyptothorax kashmirensis. RNAcentral's name for it is "partial large subunit ribosomal RNA". It matches the Rfam family "Bacterial large subunit ribosomal RNA", at positions 1837 to 2592 of the family's 2925-position model. The record is from RNAcentral. Lineage: Eukaryota; Metazoa; Chordata; Actinopteri; Siluriformes; Sisoridae.